RNAcentral lists this long non-coding RNA (399 nucleotides) under Astyanax mexicanus (Mexican tetra). RNAcentral's name for it is "lncRNA (ENSAMXG00005014837.1)". The record is from RNAcentral. Lineage: Eukaryota; Metazoa; Chordata; Actinopteri; Characiformes; Acestrorhamphidae.
ACAAGGAUGCCCCACUGACAUGACUGAAGUCAAUCCAGAUCCAGCUGCUGCCUUCUAACUUGGUUUAGAUAAAGAUGCGUCACUGGCAUGACGGAUGACUUCAAGCCAGAUCCAAGUGCUUCCUUCUAACAUGGUUUAGAAGCUGAUGCCUCAUGGUUGAAGAUGGGACUCCAGACCUCAGGCUUUGGCCUAACAUGGUUUUUCUCUAGGCCGUAUCCUGUGGAUCCUUCCAUGGCAAACAGACCACUGUGGCCUUGUGCUCCUCUGAAACUGGACAGAGGGUUUGGAUAUGUAGUUCACCCUGUUGCCUGGAUAAUAUUGUGUAUAUGGUGUGAUUUUCCAUCGUCACAUGUGUUGCCUUAAGUGAUAAUAAAAUAAAAUUUGCAAUGAAUGAAUACA